This 305-nucleotide ribosomal RNA is filed under the name uncultured bacterium. RNAcentral's name for it is "bacterial SSU rRNA". It matches the Rfam family "Bacterial small subunit ribosomal RNA", at positions 335 to 638 of the family's 1533-position model. The record is from RNAcentral.
UACCUACGGGACGCAGCAGUGAGGAAUAUUGGUCAAUGGACGGAAGUCUGAACCAGCCAUGCCGCGUGCAGGAAGACGGCUCUAUGAGUUGUAAACUGCUUUUGUACAAGGGUAAACCUGAAUACGUGUAUUCAGCUGAAAGUACUGUACGAAUAAGGAUCGGCUAACUCCGUGCCAGCAGCCGCGGUAAUACGGAGGAUCCAAGCGUUAUCCGGAUUUACUGGGUGUAAAGGGCGCGUAGGCGGACUGUCAAGUCAGUCGUGAAAUACCGAAGCUUAACUUCGGGGCUGCGAUUGAAACUGCCA